AACGAACGCUGGCGGCAUGCCUAACACAUGCAAGUCGAACGAGACCUUCGGGUCUAGUGGCGCACGGGUGCGUAACGCGUGGGAAUCUACCCUUGGGUUCGGAAUUACAGUUAGAAAUGACUGCUAAUACCGGAUGAUGACGUAAGUCCAAAGAUUUAUCGCCCAAGGAUGAGCCCGCGUAAGAUUAGCUUGUUGGUGGGGUAAUGGCCUACCAAGGCGACGAUCUUUAGCUGGUCUGAGAGGGUGAUCAGCCGCACUGGGACUGAGACACGGCCCAGACUCCUACGGGAGGCAGCAGUGGGGAAUAUUGGACAAUGGGCGAAAGCCUGAUCCAGCAAUGCCGCGUGAGUGAUGAAGGCCUUAGGGUUGUAAAGCUCUUUUACCAGGGAUGAUAAUGACAGUACCUAGAGAAUAAGCUCCGGCUAACUCCGUGCCAGCCGCCGCAGUAA
RNAcentral lists this ribosomal RNA (449 nucleotides) under uncultured bacterium. Its description in RNAcentral is "partial 16S ribosomal RNA". It matches the Rfam family "Bacterial small subunit ribosomal RNA", at positions 29 to 523 of the family's 1533-position model. The record is from RNAcentral.